Molecule: ribosomal RNA, 587 nt
Filed under: uncultured bacterium
Lineage: Bacteria
Description: bacterial SSU rRNA
Rfam family: Bacterial small subunit ribosomal RNA
Source: RNAcentral
UCCUACGGGAGGCAGCAGUGGGGAAUAUUGCACAAUGGGCGAAAGCCUGAUGCAGCCAUGCCGCGUGUGUGAAGAAGGCCUUCGGGUUGUAAAGCACUUUCAGCGAGGAGGAAAGGUUAGUGGUUAAUACCUGCUAGCUGUGACGUUACUCGCAGAAGAAGCACCGGCUAACUCCGUGCCAGCAGCCGCGGUAAUACGGAGGGUGCGAGCGUUAAUCGGAAUUACUGGGCGUAAAGCGCAUGCAGGCGGCCAAGUCAGUCAGAUGUGAAAGCCCCGGGCUUAACCUGGGAAUUGCAUUUGAUACUGCUUGGCUAGAGUCCUUGAGAGGGGGGUAGAAUUUCAGGUGUAGCGGUGAAAUGCGUAGAGAUCUGAAGGAAUACCAGUGGCGAAGGCGGCCCCCUGGCAAGAGACUGACGCUCAGAUGCGAAAGCGUGGGGAGCAAACAGGAUUAGAUACCCUGGUAGUCCACGCCGUAAACGAUGUCUAUUAGGAGUCUGUGACCUUGAGUCGUGGGUUCCAAAGCUAACGCAUUAAAUAGACCGCCUGGGGAGUACGGCCGCAAGGUUAAAACUCAAAUGAAUUGACGG